UAAAGCACGCAGGAGUUUCUGGGUUCA
Molecule: non-coding RNA, 27 nt
Filed under: Rattus norvegicus (Norway rat)
Lineage: Eukaryota; Metazoa; Chordata; Mammalia; Rodentia; Muridae
Source: RNAcentral